This 35937-nucleotide long non-coding RNA is filed under the name Theobroma cacao (cacao). Its description in RNAcentral is "long non-coding RNA (TCAC_LNC004695)". Lineage: Eukaryota; Viridiplantae; Streptophyta; Magnoliopsida; Malvales; Malvaceae. The record is from RNAcentral.
AUGCCUGGAGCCGAAAUAUAAAUUUGACCGUAAUUAAGCUCAAAAACAACAAAAAGAAUUCGAAGAAAAAUGUGAUUCUCAACGAAGAGUGAAAGAACCGAAAAUGACGAGUAACCUUAAUGGAAGGAAGGUUCGCGUAGGCCGAAAGCAACUCAGGCUCGAGGGCUUGAAAUCCAACCAAAGAGUCAUCUCCUCCAUCGUCGUCGCAAUAAUCACCAUUAUCAUCUUCGUAAUCGUUGUAAUAAUACUCGCCAUCGCUACUCAUAUAAUCACCCAUUCCAAUUCCCGAUCAAAAAGAACGCGAAAACGCUCUCGAUUGAACGUUUCGAUCAAAUCAAAUCAAACAACAUAAAAGAGAAAAGCGAAGAAGGCUUGCUGACGAAGCAAAACGGUGGAAUGGAGCCGGAAGCGAGUUAUUCCUUUCACUUCUUCUCCGGCUCAGAGUGAGCUCACGAUCAAGGCUUCGACUGGUGAGAGGCGUGAGACAAGAAACUCUUUCUUCAGUGUUUUUUUUUUAAAUAGAAUUUAUCCUUGAGUAACGGCGAAGAGUUCGCGUUUCGCGCCGUUAUUUUUUACGCCGUUAGGAUUAAUUCCAGUUUUUAUUAUUGUUUUUGCAACUCGGGAUAUAUAGUAGGGCGGGACUCGGCGAGCAGGAAGAAUAACAUACCACGCAGUGUACCAGUUUAAUCGUGCUACUUGGAAAUUUGCAUUGCCACUUGGAUCGGAAGCGUUUAGCGGGUUGCGUUAGCGUACGCGCAGUCGUAUACGUGGCUUUAAAGUACUGGUUUAAAGUCGUAUAUCGCGUACGCCCUAGAUUUCUUCCAAAAGCUUUGUUUAUUUGUCCAUUAUUGCUUUUUGACUAGUUUGAUAAAAAACUUUAUUAAUAAAUGUACGAUGAAAAUUAAUUUUCUCUUUAGUCACACUCUUUGACUCGAAGUUAAUCUAGAUAAUAUAACAAUGACAAACUAUUAAAUAACAAAAGAGUAUUUAAUACAAUAAAUUAUUUUUCUAUUCUAUAAGAAAAUAAAUAGUUUCAAAAAAAAAGAAAUUAAAGUUGUUUACCAAACUAACCAAUUUUUUUCCAAAAUUAAAUAAUAAUUACUCGUUAAAAAUAGAUAUAAUAUUUUAAAAAAAUUUAAAAUAUUCAAAUAAAUUUAAAUAAAAUUUUUUAUUACGUGAUUAAUAAUUUUUAAUCAAAAUAUCACUUAUAUUUUUAUGUCAUGUGAUAUUAACGUAACAUGUUGAUAUAUUAUUAUAAAUAAUGAAGUAACAUGUUGAUGUGAUAUGAUAGUACAACCACGUGGUAUUUUUACUAUUCAUGUCAAAGCCAUGUAAGUAUAUAAUGAUAAAUGACGUUCAUUAAUCAUAAGAACUUAAUCAAUACAAAAUUAAAAUAUAAAAUUUUGAUAGAACGUAAUAAAAAAAUAAAAAUUUAUUUAAAAUUUUUGAAUUAUUUAUAGACUUUUUAAAACAUUAUACUUUAAAAAUAUAAAUUUUGCAUUGCUUCCAUAAUUUUAAAAUGAUUUUUUAUACACAUUUUAAUUCUAUGACAUGCUAAAUUAAGAUUAUAUAUGUUUAACCCAAAAGUUUUAACAAAUUUUUUGGAUACAUAACUAUAUUUUAGUAGAAAAAAAGUAUCUUUAGAGUUUAUAUUUUUUUGAUAGUUACAUGCUAGCAAAUCCACAUUACACAAAUUUAGUCUAUUAUAAGAUUUAUUAGAAAAAUAUAAAUUCAAACAUUAUUUCUCUUUAUUAUAUAUCAAGGAAUUGAUAAAUUAAUAUGGGAGGGGACAAAAGCAAAUCAAUUAAACCUAAACAUUAAGCUUCAAAAACAAUCACCAUCAAAUCACUUUUCCCACAUAAAAUAAAGGAAAAGAAACCCUUUUUUUUCUUUUCAAGUGUACUAUUCAUUUUGAGGACAUAUAAAAGAAAGGGUCAUGUUAUGAUUUCAAGCAUAGGAUCUUUGCUUUUGUUUUAAAGCAGAAGAAUGUGAUGACUUCUAAUGGAUGUAAACCUCUUUCAUCAAAACAAAUUCCCCAUUUUAUAAUGUGAAAAUAGCCGAAAGUGCAUGGCUCACAUCAUUAUUUUCAUGAUAUUGAGAUACUCCAAAUCAUUAAUUAUAUCAUUUGGAGAUUAAUCCUAAUUAAGAGAAUGGUUAAUGAAGUAGACAAAGGCUUGGAAUGGAAAUUUUAGGAGGUUAAUUUUGAUCCUAGCCUCCCUCCAAAGGCCUAAUCCUUUCCUAUAACAUGAAUUAGUUUGGUAAGUUUAGUAUCAAAUGCUACUAACAUAUCUACUUAUCCAAUCUCGGCUUGAUAUAUGCUGCCAUGGGUUCUCCAUUUUCCUGUUUAUUUGAAUCUCUCACCAGUGGACAAAAGGGAGAACAGGGAUUGAAACUACAGAUCAAUAUUCCUGACUUGAAAUGCAAGAGAAUGUUAUUGGGGAAUCAGAUCUACAUACAAAAAGGGUUCUGACAAUUUGGAAAUGUAAGAUAUCAGAUCAUCAAGAAGCUUAAAGAAAUGGCAACGACAAAGAUUUUCUACAAACCAACAAACAAUGGUGUAUUCCAAGUUUCCAAACCCUUUUUUAACGUUUGGAGUACUGUGGAGCUUUACGAGCCUUUUUGAGCCCAACUUUCUUCCUCUCCACGACUCUGGAAUCCCUGGUCAAAAGCCCUUCUUUCCUCAACGGGCUGCGAUGGUCCUCACUCACCUUGAGCAAUGCACGGGCAAUGCCCAGGGAGAUUGCCUGAGCCUGUCCCGAAAGGCCACCCCCAUGAGCUUUGACAAAUACAUCGUAACUAGUCUCGUACCCCAAUGUCACCAAUGGAACUUUUAUGUACUGCAGCCACAACGGAUUCCCUUGCAGAUACUCCUGCAUCAGAAGUUUAAAGCAUUAAAAAAGGCAAUUCUAAUGAGAUUCCUUAAGUUGUCUUUGGUUCUUGGUUUUCAUACUUGGUUUUUUUGCUUGCCCACAUACUUGAAUUAUUCCCACAACACAAACAAAUCAUCAAACAUCUGAAAGACAACUAAUUGAUUAUUACAGAACACAGGAAAUUCCCUCCUAAAAAUAACCCAGAAACCGAAGGGUUAAAAGUUACCCUGGCGUCACGGUAGUUGAUGAUGAACUUUCCGGUGCCUUCCUGGAGAACCACACGAGCAAUGGCGCUUUUCCGGCGUCCCGUCCCUAUGAUAGUCUGAGCCGCGAACCCACCGGGUAGCCUGGACUUAACGUACUUCUUGAGGUCCUCUACCGGUUCCGAUUCAGGUGGGGCAGCAACGGUGGCGGAGAUGGAGAGGGAACGGGUGGUUUUGGAGAAGAGAGAAAUGGGGACGGAUUUUGGCGGUUGGGGAAUUGAGACACUGUUUGGAUUCCGGGAAAUUUGAGAGGAAAAUGAGAGGGAAGAAAGGGAUGAUGUAAGGGAAGAUAUAGAAAGAGCCAUUGUUUGUGGGAAAUUGAUUGUUAUUAGAAAUUUGGUGGUAUUUUGUGACAGUGCUGCUGGCGAGGAGCAGGGCAAGCUGAGACUGGGAGAGCCAGAGAGGAUAACGUACGAGGAAUAGACGAUAAUGUCCCCAAGCAUGUACGAGGUACGACGUCGUAUUAUUCGAGUUCGUUUUGGACAUAAUUGGAGAGUCACCUUAAUAGCACGUUUGGUUCGCGGAAUAGAUAAGAAUAGAAUAGAAUAGCUAUUACAUGAAAAUAGAAUGAGAUGAGAAUAGAAUAGAAUAGGUAUUACGUAGUUUGGUAUGAUAAAUGGAAUAGAGUAGGAAUGAUUAUUAUGACGUAUUACAGUAUUUUGUUGGUAAAAAUAACUUUGAAAUAAGAAAAGAAUAAAAAUAAAAAGAUAAAAAUACCCUUUAUUAUAUAAUGAUUAUUAAUUUUAUUUUAUUUUUUAAAUAUUAAUAUUUUAUUAAUAUUUUAAUCAUAAUAAUGUUUAAAUUAUAUAUAAAAUACUAAUAUUUUAUUUUAUAAUUUAAUGUUAUAAUGAUUAUUUAUUUUUAAUUAUUUAUUUUAAACAUUAAUAAUGUAUAAUUUAUUUAAAAUAUUAAAAAUUGAUAGUUUAAAUAUUAAUAUUUUAUUUAUAUUUUAAUCAUUAAUAUUAAAUGUUAUUGUGAUUAUUAUUUUUAUUUUAUUUUAUCUUUUAAAUAUUAAUAAUUUAUUUUUUAAAUAUUAAUAGUUGAUUAUUUAACUAUUAAUAUUUUAUUUGUAAUUUAAUCAUUAAUAUUAUAAAAUACUACUAUUUUAUUUAUAAUUUAAAUGUUAUUAUGAUUAUUUGUUUUUAUUUUAUUUUUUAAAUAUUAAUAAUUUAUAAUUGAUUGAAAAUAUUAAUAAUUGGUAAUUUAAUUUAUAAUUUAAAUAUUAUUAUGAUUAAAAUAUUAAUACUUUUAAUUAAUUUUUAAAUUCAAAAUAUUUUAUAAUAUAUAAUUAAUAACUUAACCUUUUUAUUAUNUAAAAUUAAUAUUUUAAAAUACAAUUUUAUUUAUAAUUUAAAUAUGUUAUAAUUAAAAUAUAAAAAUAAUUAAUAUUUUAUAUUUUAAUUUAAAAUAUUAAUUUUAUAAAUUUAAAUUUAUAAUUUUUAAAAAUAAAUAAUGACAUUUUAGUCCAAAAUGUAUAAAUUUUGUUUCCAUAGGUGUGGAAUAGCUAAUACCAUGGGGAUGGUGGUAUUAGCUAUUCCAAGCUUUUGCCUAAUUUUAAAGAAUAGUCAUUCCUUUUGGAAUGGCUAUUCCUUCCCCAAGAGCAAACCAAACAAGGGGAUAAAAUUUUGUAAGGAAUAAAAGGGGAAUGGCUUAGCCAUUCCACCUACCAAACAUGACCUAAAAGUUUCAACCCGACCGGACAUGAUAUUCCCAGAGAAAUGAUGAUCCAAUCAAUUUCUUACUAGUAAGUAUGAAGAUUUAGAUGAAGUGCUUGACUUUGACUUUUGUCGUUUGAAAAAUGUAAGAGAAACUAAGAAUUGAAAUGAUAUCAAAUUCGAUCCAACUUAAAUUCUAUAUAUAAUAAAUAUUUUUAAAAAUAAAUAAAUAAAAAAGAUAUAAAUAUUUGAGAUAACAUCUUCAAAUCAAAUAAAUUUAAUUUAAAGCUUUUUAUUUGUCUUAUUAAUGCUUAAAUUUAAAUGUAAAUUUCAUUUAUCCUAUAUCUCAUCAACCAAAACUAUUUACCAUUAUAUUAACACUAAAACUUAUCAUGGUUUUCUUUUUAUCAUUAUUAUUAUUAUUAUUAGAAGAAAUUUAGAUUAAAGUGGGUUCAAUUUAGAUUUGAUUCAUGGUAAGCAACUCUAGAGGAGAGGUAAGCAGGUUGUUUUUGUGGCUAAGAAUUGAUUGGGUUGCUUGGUUAGAGGUUCAUGAACCAAUCUGUUCUCAGCAGUGGAGCCUGAAUGCAAACUAUUCAACUUGUCAGCUUGUUCAAAUCAAAUUAUAGAUGAUUGGAGAAAUAUAAUUUACUUAAAUCAGAAUUCAAUCGCAUCUUGCCAUGUCAAGAUUCUGAAAUCUGUGUUGCUGCUGUUGGUUUAUGGAAACCUACAGGUAUAGCCUAACACAUUGCCUUUAGAAGUAACCCUAAAUGCUUACAAAAUGAUGACUAAAAGCUGUAAUCGGCCCCUGAUAAACCAACAUUACUGGACCCUAAUUCACUUAGACAGAUUCAAAUCAAUGCUCCGCAAUUGAUCCUCCCCAUCUCUUCACACGGCUUUCUGCUUCUUCAGCCUGCAUAGAAGAAGAAUGGUGUUCAAGAUUUGCUUUCAAUCCAACAAAUUAAAGAAACAUGAUUCAGGAUGAGAAACAGAGAGUGCUGAAGGGCAGGGAUUCUCACUUCCUUGUUCCAGUUGGUUAGUGAAGUAACAACUAUCAAGAUUAAGGUUUGCAAAACAAUGCCUCCGAUCAUUCCUGACCAAAUACCCUGCAAUUCAAAAGUAAUACCAAUAAAAAUGAAAUUCACCCGAAAGGUGAAAUCUACAUUAGACUGGCUUUCAUAGCAUAAGAAUCAACUAUUAGAACUACAAAGUCAAGCUGAUAGAAAGGUGGAUUUCUAUAUUCAAGUUCUGCAUAAAUUGUUUUUUCAACAAGUUGUAACAUGUCAGGAACCUUGGGAGAAUAGGCAUAGUAAGUUACCAUAACCCCAAAACCAAAUGUGAAUCCAAGGAGUAUCCCAGCCGGCAAUCCAACAAUAUAGUAACACCCAAUGUUGAUGUACGCAACAAGAGAUUGCCAUCCAGCUCCAACAGCAACACCUUAAGGAACCAAAUUGCGUAUUAACAAAGAGAAACUUCAUCCAGCAAAUUCUAGCAUAAUUCAGUGUUUCUUCAAGCUUCUACAUCUUAUACUUACCAGAUAAGACCGGUUGGAGGCUGUUUAAGAGUACCGUAAACCCCAAUAACAAUGAUAGCUCGGUAGUUUCUUCAGCAACAGCGUUACUGUUGGUGAAGAGGUAAGGGAAGUAAUCUUUCGUGGCAAACACCACAAUCAUGCAAACAACCCCUAUGCCCACAGAUGUGAUUGAAACAACUAGCACAGAAAAUUUUGCAAGCCAAGCAUUCCCAGCUCCAAGUUCAUUUGAUACUCUCACACUGAUAAGAGCAUGAAUUAGUAAGUUCUCAAUUCCAAUAUGGUUAUAAAAGUAAAUGACUUCCUGGAGACAGAGGAACAUAGAUUUUGAAAUCCCAGGAGUACAACUACAAGACUUCAAAAUUUUAAAUAAAUUUUUUCUGUUUCCAGUCAAUGGAAUUAAUCGAAUAUAUAAGAGGGAGAUGCGCACCUUAUAGCAGCGUUGAAACCGAUUGCAAUCAUUGCAUCCCAUCCAUUUAUGUUCAAGCUGGAAAAAGGAGAAAAUGAAAGCUCAGAAAAAGCAUUUAUCUCCUAAACUCUACAUUUCAUGAAAAUUAAAUACAUACUCAACCAAAUGAAAGUGAUGUCUUGGGUAACAAAACCAAAAAAAUCUAUAGUAGAUUAAGCAUUGAGUAAGAAGAGAUAACGAUACACCUACCAAAUGGAAAUGGCAUCAACUGGUAUCAGAGGGUUUGGUAGUCGACCUGUUAUGACAACCAGCACCAUUAAGUACCAAAAUUCCAAGCUGCAAUUCAUUUUCAACAACUGCUGUUAAUAUCAAAACUGAUACCAUGAUUUACACAAAACAUACACAGAGGGAGAAAAGAAACAUGCCAUAGCAUAACAGCAGAAGCCAAAGAAAGCUUGACAAAGCCAAAUAGAUCCGCAAAUGCUAGCCACGAGAAUCCACACCAUGCACCGUCAGACUUGGUAAUAAAGAUAUAUAACAACUGUCCGAUAACAAUGAGCCACCAUGAUGUAUUUAAAGUUAUUGCUGCUCCUAUUAGUCCCCAUCCGAGUUUUAAUAUCAGCAGCCAGCUGAAAAGAGCAUGUAGCACUAGUACGAUGGCUGAUACCCAAGCCAUUACCAUGACUUUCCUCUGAGCUUGUAAGAACUUCUGUAUAGGGAAGUUAAUAGCGUAAGCAAAUAACUGCGGCAGCAUCCACACAGCAAAUUUACCUGCACCAACAAGUUUAGGAUGUUACUGGAUCUCAUAUUCCCCAUCUUUUCAAAGUUCAGAUUUGAUUUUAGACAGAUUUUUGUCAAUUUUGUUUCAAGAAUAGAGCAAAAAUUCCAACCUGCAGCAUUGGAGAUUUCAGUGGUCUCUCCAAAGAGUUCAAGAAUGGGAGGUGACCAAAUGUAGACGGGAACCAAUAAGCAUGCUGUAGUGAACAAAAUAACCCAUGAUCUCUGCAUGUACACCCCCAACAUCCUUAUCCUCCCAGCACCAUAUGCUUGACCACAUAGCGUCUCCAAUGCGCUCCCCAUUCCCAACUGUCACAAAUUAUUCAACCAUGGAAAAGGAAACAUAAAAUUUCAUUUCCAAAAAUCAGUCCAUAUUUGGUAAAAUAUAGAGCUUUCUUACAAGCCUCAGUAACCUUCCUUUUGUUUUGGAUUCUUUCCAACUUUUGUAAACCAAAAACAAAAAAAAUCUUACCAAACCAAAACAGAAAGCUUUUUUAACGGACACAAAUGACAAAAACUUAAGCAAAACAAAUUACCAUGACACCGAAAGCAAGACCAGCUACGACAGAGUUCUCAACGGACACCGCAGCAAGAUCCAACUCACUAACAUGACCAGCAAACGUUUGCGUGAGUGCUCCCAAUGAGUACUGGCAAAUUGCUGUUAAUAUCGCCGGCCCUGCAAUAUGCCAUAACCUCUUGGACUCAUAUCCGAACUCCUUAACCCAUCUCACAGGCUUUUCUAUCUGGUUGCUGUCUGCGCCAUGAGUGUUGAGCAGUGGAGCACUCUCCAUAGCCAUAGCCGCUGUUCUAUGAAAGUUUGAACUGCCUAAUGAACUAAACUAAACGCUUACUGUAAAGGGUUUCUCUCUGUCUAGUAUUUAAGAUAAGAAUACCUUCAGAAUCUUUGAAUAUUUUCUUGUAUAGGAACAGACUGACUUGUAUGCUGCAAAAGGCCAAUAUGCUUUCGCCUCUGGUUGAACGAUUUGUUUGAAUGGUUGUUUAAGAGUUAAAAUAGCCCUCGUAGAGUUAUGACACGUUCGGGAACUGGUCCCAAAGGCCUUUAGAGUCACCGUCGGUUGCAGCUCUAAAUGGGGUUAAAGCUAGGUUGGCCGUCGAUAAUGCACAUGUUCGAUAAAUAAAGAUAUAUUAACUGUAUUUUGACCCAUUUACUUUUCCUGUUUUUCAUUCGUGCCCCUAUAGUUUUUCUUCUUCACAUUCUUCUUUUUUGCUUUCAAAUUAAUGUUGAAUUAAUCACAGUAGUUUCAACAGGGGGUUCGGAUUCUUAAUUCCUCCAUGCAAGUUUACUAAGAAUAGUGGUGACUACAGUAUUACUUAAUCCCGGUUAAUACAGUUUUAGUGUAGUAGAGUAUGUCGUUUUCCACCUUUGGGGUUAGAUUAUUUAGAGCUUUUCUGGUGGGGCAGACAAUGCUUCUCCUCUUGGGCCACGGGACUUAUAGCUUGCGUAUUGUCAAUGUGAAAGACCCUAAUAAGACUUUACUGGAAAUUGGGCAGCAAAUCUCAAGAGCUAAUACCCCAUAACCAUAUUACUUCUAGGCAGCAACUGUACCCCUACGAGAAUUCCUCAUUUGGUCUUGAAAUUUAGACAGUGGGACUUGCCCCUUUGUCCCUUCGGGUACAAAUGGAGCAGUGGUAGUUGGCAUUCCCCACGUGCCAGCCGCCGCUACUAUGGGAUCUAGAACGGCCAGCAACCGCUACUAUUGGAUCAAGAACGGCAAAUCAAGUGGUGUCGGUUGUUGUUCAAUUUUCAAAACCAAUUUUGCCUUAUAGAAUAAUAUGCUUAUAGAUUUCAAUCCAACAACACUUGCACAUCAACUUUAUGUUUAAAUUAAAGUGUUAGUGUGUUCCUUCACCUUUUACUUUAAUGCAAACGAUUCCCUUUGAUCACGUAAAAUCUCAACGGCAGUGCAUGCAUUCUCUCUGUUCAUUUUAGAGUUUUUAAGUGUCAGGUCUCAAAGGGUUAACUCUGUACUAGAGCUGAGGCAAAACCGUGAGGCCCAUCAAGAUAAUAGGUAGAGUCGUAGAGGAAGCAAGAGUAAUAUAAGAACAAGAUAGAAAUGAAAGAUAGUUUCUAUUUUCGAUUUGCAUAGAUAAAAUGAAGAUACAUUUUGAUUAAUGACAAUAAUAAAGGGUUAAUGAGCACACCUCCGAUGGGGGCUGCAUUAGUUGACCCAUUAAUAAAUACGUAAAUAAGUGGUACUACUUACAAGAAUUCUUCCGACAAGGCAAGGCACAACAUCCAGAAGAACACAGCUUUUUGCAUAAUAUUUUACAUGUUCCUGUCUUUUCUUCAUGGCAGCCACAUGACUGUCAUGGGUCUAAAUAAAUGACUUCUGCAUAUAUUGAGGCGCGCCGGAACCGCAGCAAUUCCUUCAUCAGCUCCCAUUCGCCAUCCUGGGAAGCAGGCUUAACAGUCAACCGCUCAAGGACUGGCGAAUUUGAAAGCAGGAACUUGAUGAAAUCCAUUUCCGAUUUAACACCGGAGAUGCCUGAUACUUUAACCAGUCUCAGAUGGGCAAACAGUGAGCUCCAAUGAUCAUCUUCCCAAAAGUUAGAGGAUCUUUCCACAGUAUUUUGUUCCUCUGGUCGAGCCUAUAAAAAACACCAUACUUUUACAAUCGCUAACCAACCUCUAAAGUCAGGAAUUAUUACAUGCAUUACCAUUUUAGAUCAACUGUAUAUCUAAAAACGUUUAUGUGAUAAAAAAGCAGGAGAUAUUGCUAUGUACAUCAACAUGAGAACCUAAGUGAGUAAAUAAACAAAACUCACCAACAUUUCCAGCUCUUGGAGAUUUGGACUACUUCUUAGGAGGCAUUGAGCAGCAAUAUUUUCCUCCAAAUCAUCAAAAUCUAUGCGAAUGGAUAGAUAAUUCAGAUCAACACAUGGGUUAGGCAACCUGCUUGGCACAUUUCCAAUAGCCAAAUACUGGAGCAAAAAAAGGAAGAACAACAGUGCAAAUUAGAAUCUCAUUUAGAUAAAUUAAGGUGACACAUUGACAUCCUUGAGAACUUGAACAAGUAAAUCAGGAUUCAAUAACCAAUUUAUGAAACUAACUUAUAAUACAGAAUCUAUGAUAUUUACAAAGAUCAGUAAAAAAAAUCUGAUUUUGGUGUUCGCAGAAUCCUACAUAGGUUGUAAAAAAGCAUAUAGAUUUCUAAAUGAUAAAGAAAACACAAUGCCACUCAAUUGAAAUCCCCAAGGAAACCAUCAAACUUGUUCAAUAUACAAGAAGAUACUAGUCUCUUCAAUGAUGCUCACUAAGCCAUUACCUUCAAAAAGUAACUCUGAACCUCCAGCCUUCGAAUAUGGGGCAGAUUAGCAAAGAAUCUGAGCAAUUUACUAGAGUUUUCUUCAGCAUCGUUGUCUUCAUCGUCGAUAUUCACAUACAAACCAAUGGAAACUAGAGAUAAAUGGACUGUAUUCUGAAAGCUAACAUCAUCAAAAAUACCUCCAAUGUCAAAGAAUUGCAGAUUUGGUGCAUCAAUGUUAAGAUGUGUGACACCAGUAAAGUUCAUCAAUGUUAAUCUCUCAAGCAGAGGGCAGCUAGAGAUGAGGUGUUCGAACACAUUUUGGAUGAUGGUAAUGUGCUGAAGAUCAAGGCUCCUCAAAUUCUUGAAACCUUUGAAUGUCAACGGAGGUUUUAGCAGGCAAUUAAAUAGCUCCAAAUGAAUCAAAUUCUGGCAAUUAAAUAAACAAGAAGGCGGCUUGUAGCGCUGGCCCUUCCAUAUUUCCAGUAUGAAUUCUUUGAUAGAGCUCCUCGAUAAACAAAGAAUCCAUCGAUCAAUGUCAGUGACUCCUAAAAGAUCUCGAUGAGAGAGUUUGAACUUGUGUAAUGGACCACUGUGAAGUAAGAGUACAUGGUCAAUAAUGUUUACAAGCUUGUUUUUUAUGAAAGUUUGGUCUUGGGAAGAGACAUUAAGACACUGAUUAUCAAAGACAAGAUACGGUAUUGUAGCCCAUUUGUAUCUCCACUUCCUUGACAGAACACUAGUCCUUACGGCAUCCCUUAUUGGCAAAUGUGACAAGAUUUGAUCAAUAACAUGUCCUGGUAAGUUGCUGAUCUUAUCUAGCUCUGCCUCUGUUUUGAUAGGCAAUCUUAGUGGCUCUCUUUGCUUCUGAAACACUCAUAAGGGACAGAACGAGCAAGUUAAUGAAAUAUUACAUACAGCAGUUAAUACUCAUAACAUAUUGGAGUUUCAAGCACAAACAUAACCAUACAACCAUAUGCAAAUAUAUUCCAUAAGAAGUGGCCAAGGAAACAGAUUUUAUGUCAAAUUGCACCUUUUCAAGUUAUGCAGUUAGUCAUUUAUUUAAACAAAUAGAUCCAAAGACAGAGUCUCUACAUGCUAAAGAUGGCAAGUAUGAAAAAGCAUCACUAAACCAAUUGAUGCACAUUUCUGAGCGCAUAUUGGCAUGUAAUAACAUAAAAAAGUAGCCAUGGCCAAACUUAGAAGGGUGUAUCUAGUCCUAUUACCCACUUCCCUCCAUUAGUUAAGCUUCAAUACAAAUCAAGAGUGUUGGAGAGUUUCAAAUACAAAUUUAAGCAAAUCAAAUCCUCAGUUCAGUACAUGGAAACAGAACAGCUAGUGAAAAUCUACUUCAAUUUCCGAAAUUUCACAACCUAUGAGAAUAAUCAAAGCAAUCACAUUGUUGCAAUGCAAAAAAAGGCUGGGACAGAGACAAAUAAAAGAAGCACUCACAGUUACAAUGCUCAUUCUGCUUAGCUAUUUGGGGAUUUCAGGCAUGCUUUUCAAUUCCCCAAAAGAACAUCCUAAGCCCGUCAAAGCCUUGUUUCAACUAAUCUACCAGCCGAAAUCUGAAAUAUUUAAACAAACAAAAAUGAUUGAAAUUAGUUCCAAAAGAUUCUUACAAUAGAAUAAAAAUCAAGGCCUUAAAUAACUUUAAAGUAAACAAUUGUGGACUAUAAAAUUAGAGAAAAAUAUUAAAUAUUGCUUUGAAGUUUGUAAUAUCCAAAAUAUGAAAUCAAAGAAUAAUACUAUAAAAUUAAAGCAUUUUUAAGCUUGGAAAAAUGGGUAAUCGCCAGAAAAAGAAAAUUCACUUUUCUGGGUACUACCCAAAACAGAAUUAUACAAAAGGGGGGGGGGGGGGGAGGAAUCUUCAUUACAUUGGAAUUUAAAUCAAAUUAGAUGUUCAGCUUAUACUGUUAUAAUAGGAAAUACGAAAAAUUGGGGAUGGAAUAAAGUAGGAGGAGAAAGGAAGGAUUAGAAUAACAAUGCAAGAAGAAAAGGGAAGGAUUAGAAUAAAAAUGGAAGAAGAAAAGGAAGGUCGUUACCUGAAGAAGAAGAAGCAGCGGGAGGAAAGAAAGUCAGCAAAUGCGACUUUGGUUCGAGACUUGGAAGAUAGGGGCCAGGGCUAGGGCUAGGGCUUAGGGGGCAAGCUCAAGUCAAGCCCCAAUGGCAGUGAGCUGCGCGGGUCGUUGUACUCUCGCACGUGCACUCCCCGUUCAUAUAUAUAAUAUGUAUCUGGACACGUACGUAACCAUCCAUCUUUGUUAACAGGGUCGGGUUACGUUUGUAAGUUAGCUCAACAAGAAAACAGUUUCGAUCUUUCAACCGUGUGCUGAGACGCCAAUCGAACAUCCAUGGUCUUGGCUCAGAAAACUCAGGGCGGUGAGCCGGUGACUCAAUUCAAUUGCAUGCAAUUUGGCUACGGCGGAGCUAGACCGGCCAUCUUCGGUAUCCUUCUGUCGACAUGUAAUUAGCUAUAUAUACACGUUUGUAUAUAUGUUACCAUUCGAUUAAUGGAUAUCUGUACGAGCGAGAGGGUUGCUUGUUGGAUUAUGGUACUGUGGUAUGGUCGUUGUCAACUUUGAUUAUAACUUUCAUAUUGUCAAAAACUCCCAACCUAACUCGUAGAGAAAAGUAGUCUUCAAAUAUGAGAGAUCCCCAUAGCCAUAACAUCGAAGAUUUCAGACGUUUGACUUUCUGAGUUUCCAUAUCUUCACCGCCAAAAGCCAAAAAUUUCCAUAUUUAUAUAAAUAUUACGUCUCUUUCUUGUAAGGUUUCCAAGUCAAGCGGUCGAGCUAGCUGCCUCCCUGCAGAUGCUGGUUAUGGUGAUCUUAUUCAAAAAGGAAAACGAUGGGAAAUUUCUAUACAAUAUUCCGAGCUGGUAAAGGGUAUGCGAGCUCCUUUGUAAUUAGAUAUUAUCAGUGUACUCUCUUCUCCUGACGAUAGUGGGAAUGAUGAAUGAUGAUUAUGUCUUUAUUUCGCAGAAGAAGAUCAAAAUGUCAGAGAAAACCAGUGGAUUCUUUCAACAACCCCGCCGGUACUCAUGAAGGAAUAAAGACAGUGGGAGCGGAUAAUCUUUGCGACUUCUCUACAGAUUCUAACCUCUGCAUUUGCAUAGUAACGUGGAACAUGAAUGGAAAGGUUGAAGUCGCAUCCUUUUCACUCUGCUGAUAUAUGUAUUCUGAAUUUGAUGUUGAUCAGUACUGUUCAUUAGUAUAUCAUAUCUUAUCCUCCUUUUUUAUGAAGGUUUCGUAUGAAGAUCUAGUCGAACUGGUUGGGAGCAACCGAAGGUUUGAUCUACUUGUGGUUGGUUUGCAAGAGGUGCCUCGAAACAAUCUUGCGAGAUUGUUGCAGGAUGCUCUAGUUGAAAGUCACGAGUAAGCAAAACCCUUUCUCUCUCCUUCCUUUUCCUUUUCUUCUGUUGAAGCAUUCUCUUGGUUGUUUCCCUCAGCAAGAACUCACUAUAUUGGCUUCGUUCAAGCAUAUGUUUUUUGACUGCCUUAAUUGUAGUAAAUCUUUAUCCACAAGAAACCAUAAAUGAUUGGUAGGUUUACAUUAUUUGCUUGUCAGGUUGUUAGGGAAGGCAAUUAUGCAGUCUCUGCAACUAUACGUGUUCGGACCAAAGAAUUCAGACCUGUUCACCAAAGGUAGACCCUGUCCUUGUGGUGUGAAGUUCAUUUUUUUUCCAUUGUCAAGACUAAGAUAGAGCUUAAAAUGGGAUAACUUAUCCCUUUUUCCAAUUCGGAGAUGUAGAACUUAAGGUGGAUAAGCAUUCUGUUGGAGGCUGUGGGGGAAUAAUCAGGAGAAAGAAAGGGGCAGUAGCAAUCCGCAUCAACUACAAAGGAUUCCGAAUGGUGUUUAUCACUUGCCAUCUCUCUGGUAAUCCCUGUUUUAUUCAAUUAUCUUCAAUAUCAAUAGGCAUUAAGCAGACAAAUGGAGUUUCGAUCCAAGUUUUCCUUGAAUUUUCUUGGCAAGAAGUCGACGUUUUGAUGAUUAUUUAUCACAAUCGGUGCCAACAAGAAGACCCAGCCUAAUAUAGUCUAUAAGUGUGAGAUCAAUUCAAGAUAGCAAAGUUGCUACAGAAAAUCCCAUUUAAAAAGCCCAUAAAUGCAAUAGAGCUACCCUUGGACCAAAGUUAGAGCCCAUAAAGAUUUGUGUAUCGAAUUUUCAUUCAAAGCCCGGAAAAAGUAUGGGCCACUGAUUGAUGUUGUCAUGCUCUCCUUGCAAAGCAGCUCAUGCUCGGAAUGUAGAAGAGAGAAACUCACAGUGCAGGCACAUAUCACACUCUCUCUUCUCCAAGUAUUGGAACCCUUACGCCAGGCCAGCCCAGAUCACAGUAUGGUUGGGAGAUCUCAAUUACAGGCUACAAGGCAUCAAUACACAUCCAGCCAGAAACUUAAUACAAAGAAACCUUCACGGAGUCAGUAGUAUAUCUUGCCCAUUUUUUCUCAACGUAUCUUUCAUUCAUUAGUCUUCAUCUGUUUUACUUUGUUGCCUGCUGCUACAGCUGCUCAAAAGCAAAGAUCAACUCCUGCAGGAGGCCGAAAGAGGGCAGAUUUUCAAUGGAUAUUGUGAGGGAACACUCACAUUCAAACCAACGUACAAGUACAAUAUAGGAAGCAGCAACUACGAUACAAGUUACAAGGUGCAUGCUCUCUGUCACAUUCACUCUUUAAAAAACAAAGGAUUCUUUACUAAGAUACCUUCCUAAUGAGAUUCAAUUAUUUUCCCCUCACCUCUCUAUGUUUCUUCUGCUUUUGACAGGUACGCGUUCCGUCAUGGACUGAUCGAAUCCUGUUUAAGAUCGAAGAUCCUGACAAAAUCAGCGCAAGUUUGCACUGUUACGAAUCGAUUGAUGACAUUUAUAGUUCUGACCAUAAGCCAGUGAGAGCCCAGCUUUGUCUCAAAGUCUGCAAAUAUUAGCUAGUAGUCACAACACCAACAGCAAAGUUCCUAGCGAAAGCAAAACAGAAAAUCCCACUACUUCUAUUUGAUCCUGUAAAUUUGCCCCACUAUUGCUUCACAUCAAACCAGUUCUGUUCUCUUUCUUUCAUGUUAACACUAGUGUCAUUGCAUAAUGCAGUCGAAAGGCUGCCCCAUGCUUAUUGUUUCACCUUAAAAAUCAAUUUUAUUAUUUAUUCAUUAAAAAAAUAAAUUAUUACAUCAAUUAUUGAUAUUUUAUUUAUUAAUUUAUGACAUAUAUCAUAAAUUUGGUCACAUUGUUCUUUGCCAAAAUUCUUUUAAGUUAAAUAUGUUAAUCUGUUUAAAGUCUACACUUGUCAUGUUUCUAUCAAAAAGAUAAAAUGUUUUAACUCUUGCAUUGAGAUAUUGACCUUAAAGCAAAACAAGUGGAUGUAGUUAAAUGAGAUGAACCAAAUCUAUUUAAAAAGCAUGUAUAAGUUUAUCACUCUCAAUAAUUAAAAUAAGCUCUAUUACAAUUUAUUAAUUGUUCUUAGACUUGAGAGAUUAAUAUAUUUUAUUUAGUAUCUAUAUGACUUUAAUGUUGUCAACAAGUAAUACCUAAUUUAAAAGUUAUAUCUUGAUAUGCUGGGUUAUGUACGUACUAAAUAAAUAAUAUUAAAUGUUUAAUAAAAGAUUCACCCUUCUUUAUUGAGAAAAAUAUUCAAGCGAUAUUCAUAUAAUUGUCGGACUCAUGAAAUCCGACCAAUAUGUUUUUUAAAAGCAGUUUUAGAAUUAUAUUAUUUGCAUUAAUAUUAUACAUUAAUGUUUUUGAAGAAAAAUAUUUUUUUAAGUCCAACAGAAAUGAUAAUCAUGAAUAGAUAUUACAUGGGUUGAAUAUAACCAUGGAAAUUAUUUAUCCACAAAACUCAUGAGGAAUAUGAAAUGGUGAAAAGAUUAAUUAGUAAAAAUUGUAAUGAAAGUGACCUCAUGGAUUAUUCUUUUUUCUGCAUAAGUCUAUUGCAAUGUUGAUGGAUAUUAUUGUAAUUAAUGAGUAAAUAAGAUUUCUUAAUUAAUUUAAAAAACUAAAUGAUAAUAUUAAAUUAAAUAAAAUUUUAAGUAAAAUAUUAGUAGAUGACAUGGGCUUGGACUAAUAGUUGUAAAGAAAGAUCUCUAAGGAUUUCACGCAUAUUCUUCUUUUGAAUUUUAUAUUUAAAUCUUAUUGGACUAUAAAUCUAUGAUUAAGUUUAAUGGAUGAAAGUCCAUUAGUAUAUCUAUAAAACUAAGGGUUGUUACUUCAUAAGUCAUCCAAAUUAAUUAACAACAGUUUUUAGAAAAAAAAAUAACCUUAGGAAAAGAAAAGCCCGAAUCUCCUUUAACUUUUAAAAUACCUUUCAGAAUUAACGUAUUUAAAUUAUUUUUAAAAUGUGAAUAUCUUAAUCUAUAAUUUUUUUGUGAUAAAUUUUGUACUUUUAUAUUAAAUGACAAUUGUUGUUAUUAAAUUAUAAAUAAAAAAUUCACAUUUCUUAUAGACAAAGACACUAACAUGAAACCACUGUUGAAUUUGUAAUUUGUAUGCAUGUAUUUGUUUUCCUAUAUUCAAGCUUUCAUGUCAGCUCUCAAUGUAUUGACCAAAACCAGGUGACUCAACCCACAAUCCAAUGAUGGUCAAUUCAUUGUAUGAUGAAGCCUUUGCAAUCUUCUUAUGCAACGCGUCUGCAAAUUGGGUUAGAGACCAAAAUUUCGGUUUCACAUUUGAGAAGAAGUGGUCAACUACUGGUAUAGAUCUCUAGAAGGCCAUUUUGCCAUUUAAAAACAAAGGGUUUGGCAGGCUCAUUAGACACUUCCCUCUAAACCCUUUUCUUGUGGAGCCUACGGUUUUGGAGUUUGGGACAUGUCACAGUGGUUUUUACAUGUGAACUUCAAACCAAACCAGACAACAACAAAAAAAAAAGAGAGACAUAUCUGCCUAUAUGGGAAAGACAUUAGCUUAGGGAUAGCCUCAACCAAAGCCAUCUUUGUUGACAUUGACUUGCUAGCAACCACUGCUUGCAACUCAAACAAGAAUAUGCAGUGUUUUUUCUUUUAAUUUCAGUAGUCUAGAUUAACCUAAUAUCAUUUCCAUUUACAUGUUUAAUAAAAGAAAUUGCAGUCAUAAAGGCAUCAUUACUCAUUGUUUAAUCUAUAAAUGAAUUUACAAGCUAAUUAGUUUAGUAAUCCAUAGCAGUAAAUGCAGCAAUUAAACUCAAAAGUUGAUUUGUUUGACCAAAGAUAGAAGUCACCAAUGUAUAACAAUCCUUUUUUGGGGGGGGAUAAGGGGAGAUUUGAAUCAUCUUUAUCUGAAUUUUAUGAUGGUAAUGAUAAAAACCUUUGCAAUCAUAUCCAAUUAUGUGUCAUCUGCAAAGAAUGUUUCAAAGACAAGUCAUUAUAAUUAUAAUAUUUUUCUAACAAAUUAUAAUAAUAUAUAUAAAUCCCAUAUUGUCACUUUCUAUUGUAUACAUUCAAUUAUAUCUAAAUUAACAUUGUGCAUGUGGCCAUAUAAUAAAAUGAAGAGCCAUGCACAAAUGUUAAAGAGAUUUUAAGGGAGAUUGAUUGUUAGACAGAAAGAGAAAGAGGAGAGAAAAUUUUUUGUUGUGGGUUGGAACUUUUUCAAUCACUUUGUGAGUCAUUAGAUAUUCCCUUUUUUUAAAACCCUUUUUGCAAGCUAGUGGAACUGGAAUCUUUACCAAAGAGUUUAUUCUUUUUUUCUUUUUCUUUUUCCUUUUUUUCCCCCAUUUUUAUUUAAUUUUUUAUAUUUUAAAUGAUCUCGGUCUCUUCGACAUCCUAAGAUCAGUUAUUCGCCCCUUUUAGUCUUCUAAACUUUUGAUCUGUUAGCAACUUUGAACAGGAUAAGCCAAGCCAAAGCGGUAGUACCAAAAAAAGAAAACAGUUAAAUUUUAUUAAAAAAAUCACUUUUUUGUUUUUUUUUUCACUUUUUUUUACCCUUUAAACAAAGAAAGCUUGCUCCUUUUUGUUGAGCGGGGUCUUCUAGUGGAAGAAUUAGAAGAACCCCACAUGUAAAGAUUAAAGCUUUCUAAAUUUUAGGAGGGGAAAGAAGAAAGAGUGAAUGAAAUGCCCAAUUGGGUUUGAUGAAUCUUCGUCAAUCCCUUUGGCGUUAUGACAAAAAUUCUUCAAAGUUGUACGCUUGCUUCAUGUUUGACUUUGAAUUUGCGUACAGUUGAAGAACACCUGUAUUCUUAGCUUAUUUGUCUUCCUAUUUCUUACCACGUUAAACAAAAUUCCCCAGCUUUUGUUUUUUAUAUUUCAAAUUUAUUUUUGAGGGUUGUAGGUGUGAUAGAUUCUUCUUUGGAGUCAAAAGAAUAAAAGGUGUCACUGUUCUUCCUUGUUCUUUGUCUUCUUCAAUAGAUUAUUCAUUCUCAUACACAAAAAAGAGAGAAAAGAAAAAAGGAAAGAAGAAAAGGGUGAGAGGGGGAAUAUAUAGCUUUAUACAGACUGGAAAAAUUGAAACUUUUUUGGUUAAUUUGGAGAUCUUGUCUGAUCUAGUUCUCUUCUGCAGUCUUCUUCCACCCUUUGCUGCAGGAUUUUGGUUUGUUUGAGGUGAGUUAUUUCUCCACUUGUUUGAUUCUUUACCUUUUGUUCUUUAUGAACCUGCAAUUCAGUCGUUAUAUGUCAUGAAUUUUAUGGGCAUCCUGAGCUGGAAAGAAUCUGUUUUCCGUUGUUUCUUCUCCUUCUCUUUCUUUCUACCUCUCUUUAUAUUCACUUGGUCUGGAGAGAAUUUUGAUGCUUUGCACUCAUUUUUAGCUUAAGCAUUCUGGCUUAGCAGAAUGCCAGGUGGGUGAUUUUGAUUGCUAAUUGUUUAUCCUGGUUUGACUUGCUUGCAUUGAAUGACAAAUGCAGCUGAACUGAUAUAAUAUAACCUAUAGUAGGCAGUUUUUGUUUGAUGUCUAUAUGUAUGAACCGCUGUUAUUAAACAGAAAAUAGUUUAACUGCCUAGCCUAUCGAGUCUCGUUAGCAUUCUUCUCUUCUAGGCUGCUUAUGAUCCACUAUGAUUAUAUUCUUUAGGAACCGGUUUUGGCUCGAUAAAAUGACUGUUACUUGGUAUUUUCCCCUUUAUGUUAUUUGCUGCGUUUUAAUCUUCUACAUUAGAAUGGUGAAGCUUCUGUCAAGCUUUGUUGAUUGAUGAUUUUUCAGUUAAAAGUAUACAUUUCUUCCUUUUAUCUAAGCAUGAUUUGUGUAACUUUCUUCGUUUUGGCCUUCUGAAUUUACUGAAUUUGUUUUUAAAUUUAUUUAGAGUUUGCAAUAUCUGUUUGUUGAUUAGCAUGAAUGUAUGUUCUAUUUGCAGGUGGAAACCUUGUUUACCAUGAGCAGAUAACGUUCUGCAUUAUGGAUUGGAUUAAAAAAAUAUUUAAAGGCUGUGCCCAUAAAUUUUCAGAGGGGCAUCAUCAUGGAAAUUAUGUGGAGGAUCCUCAUCCCCAAUUUAAUGCUCCUUCUGUCUCAGGGGUAUUUAUAUCUGUGACUGUUUCUCCAUUUCUCUUUCCAUAUUGCUAUUUAUGUGUUCUCAACUUUUUGUAUGAUUUGAUCCCAUCCUACUCCCUGCAAUGCUACUGGUAGGAUAUACAUAAGGUCUUAUCACUUGAUGGAUUUGGCUAGGUUGUGUAGUAGACAUGUUACAAAUUAGAUUAUGAAGCAUUGGUUCUAAAGGAUACUUUCUUAUACAAAUAAAUCAUUGGACUAUUUGAGUUAGUCUAAUUAGCUUCUAAGGUGUUUCCUAUGUCACAUCUUGGUCUCAACAAUGAAUGUAGGAUGCAUGGCAGGAGCUGGAGAAUGAAGAUGUAGAUCGUGCUAUUGCCCUAUCCCUGCUAGGGGAAAGUCAGAAAGGGAGAAAGGUAAUAGGUGAGUAGCAUGUCUACCUGAUGUUACCAUGAAUGUUCUUGUCAGCUGUACUUUAUGAUAUCAACCAAUUAUUUUCUAAUAAAAUGAAUUGAGAUUUUUUUUAUAUUACCAUCCAAUUGUAAUUCUUUUUCUUCCUUACUUUUCCUUAUAAUCUUAAGUUUCUCAAAUUAUUGGGUAGAUGAUGAAUAUCAACUAGAGGAAGAUGAGCAACUUGCUAGAGCCUUACAAGAAAGCUUGAACUUUGAACCUCCUCCCCAGUAUGAAAAUGCAAAUAUGUAUCAACCUAUGCCAGUCCAUUUUCCGAUGGGAUACAGGUAUAUGAAUAUGUCAUUAGCUGCAAUAUCUAUCUCAUACCGGCUCAAUUAAUCAGGGCUUAAAUAUUGAUUUAUCUUUGAGCUUUUUUCUUGCGAAUGUAUGAUGAUAAUGGCUUUUCUUGGCAUCAAUUAUGCUGCAUUGUAUAAAAAAUUUGUUGCUACAUUAUAUAGCCUGAUCCUUUUUGCUCCCAUGAUCAAAUAUUUCAUUUUUGGUAGGAUAUGUGCUGGUUGCAAUACUGAGAUUGGUCAUGGAAGAUUUCUAAAUUGCCUGAAUGCAUUUUGGCAUCCAGAAUGUUUCCGUUGCCAUGCCUGCAACCUUCCAAUUUCUGAUUAUGAGGUACAAAUUUACAUUCUUAGUAGACUUUUUGGUGGCUAUUAAUGUUGCUGUCUUAAGUUCCUUCAUUAGAUGUUUUGAGAUAUGAAUAAGCUAACUUUAAUGCAUACUUUCUUCUGUAGUUCUCUAUGUCUGGGAAUUAUCGUUUUCAUAAAUCUUGCUACAAGGAGCGGUACCAUCCUAAAUGUGAUGUCUGCAACGACUUUGUAAGCUUUUUUCCCUUGCAUCAGGCUUAUGUUAUCUAAUAUGAAUUUGUGCUGUUGGUACUCCAUUCAAUGCAUAAACAUUUAUGGCAGGAUUAUUUGUGAUUUGGUGCAUGUUUCAGUGCAUAUAUAUAUAUUUCAAAUGAAUGUCAAUAACAAUCUUAUAGUAAUACCGAAUCAUGAGUGUGUUUCUUAUGUUAUCCAGUUUUUCUUACCUAAUAAUGAAUUUCAAGUGCUAAAUAAACCAAAAUCCUGAAGGUCACACAAGUAAAUAUAAGUGUCAUCUGAAUAGAGUCUUAUGCAGAUAUGAUGGCAAAAAGCAUAGUGUAUAGUUAAUGCCCUUGGAUGCAGUUUCAUGUUUCAACAUCUGAAUGCAUAUCAUGGGAAACCUCUAUAUGCAUAUCAUGUUCAUAUCUUAUAUUAUAUACUGUUUUUUAUGUGGUUUUGAAACAGAAGAAAGUAAAUCUUCUAUUUCUUAUGCACAUCACUCAUUGCUAGUUGGUGUUGUCUUCUGGGAUAUAUACUUUUGACAGAUUCCAACAAACCCUGCUGGUCUUAUUGAAUAUAGGGCACAUCCUUUUUGGAUCCAGAAGUACUGCCCUUCUCAUGAACAUGACGGUACUCCACGGUGCUGCAGCUGUGAGCGAAUGGAGGUGAGUAUGAUGAAAUACAUGCAUCUUUGUAAGCUUACUUAAGUUUCCUAAGUUAAAUCUUGGCUACUAUUUCUGAAGAAGAAAAGAGAAAAGGUUGAGAAAGUAUGACACAUUUCCUCCUAAUAUGCAGCCACAAGACACAGGAUAUGUUGCCCUUAAUGAUGGACGGAAGCUCUGCCUAGAGUGUCUGGACUCUGCAGUUAUGGAUACCAAGCAAUGCCAACCCCUUUAUCUGGAUAUACUAGAAUUUUAUGAAGGUUUAAAUAUGAAAGUGGAGCAGCAAGUUCCAUUACUCCUGGUUGAAAGGCAAGCUUUGAAUGAAGCCAGAGAGGGAGAAAAGAAUGUAAGGGCAAAAAUGCUUAAAGAAUGACAUAAAUCAUAAUUUCUAAGACGUUUUUCCUUUGCAAUAUCAUAUGUUGACGCAACAUCUUUUCAGUCAUGUCUGACUGAUGUUGAAAAAAUAUAGGCUUACUUCUGCUUCUAGAUGUCAUGGAAAUACCAUGUAGAAUGAUUUAAUGUUUGGUCACUUCUUUAUAUUCUACAAUUGUGUUCUAAAAUGUUGUCUUGGGCAGGGCCAUUAUCAUAUGCCAGAGACUAGAGGACUCUGCCUCUCUGAGGAACAAACUGUCAGCACUGUAAGAAUAUUUAAAAUUCUCUUUUGCUUUAAUGUAUGAUAACUUGAAAAUUUUCAUUAGUAGUUUUUGUAUUGCUCAGAGAUUCAUACUAUCUUCAACCUGAAAUCAUCAGAUUCUAAGGCAACCAAGAUUUGGGACAGGAAAUCGAGCCAUGGACAUGAUAACAGAGCCCUGCAAACUGACACGUCGAUGUGAGGUGACUGCGAUCCUCAUUUUAUAUGGCCUGCCAAGGUAUUGUAUUGCUUGUCAUGAUUGCUUUUACAUAUGCAUUAAUAGGUCCCCAUGUAAUCAAACAAUUUUUUAUAACAUACAAAUAGAGACUCAGUACAAGUUAAUUAGAUGCAGAAGAUGGAACAAAGGAGAUAUUUAUGUUACUUGCUUAGCACAUAGCAAUUUCAUGUUUUUUUUUAUCUUAUUAAUCCACAGAAACAAUGAGGGGAAAAGGUGAAAAAUGGUCUAGAUCAGUUUAAUUAAUCAUAACUACUUCAGUCAUGUAUGCCUUAAUUCUUAAACAGGCUUGACGAGCAGGCAGCCCCCAAGAUGAAGAUACAUAAAAUGUUGCUGUCGGGUUCUAUAGUCAUUACAUGUCUAUGGUUUUAAAAGCAAUGGAGUAAUUGAAUCAAGGGUAAAAGAGAAAAGAAAAAAAGGAUGGAGUCUAUGGGGAUUGAAUGAAAGAAUUGUAGUCCUGAUAGCCUCUUCUUUGUCUUAUAAAGACCUAAAUGCUCUUUUUGCAAACCUGGCAUAUUUGUAGCAGAUGAUGCUAGCUUUGAUGUUGCUCUUAAAUCUGCUAGUUUAAACAAUGCUGAUGUAUUUGAUGCAAAAUCAAAAUUUUUGACCAUGUAGGUUACUAACGGGGUCAAUCUUAGCCCAUGAGAUGAUGCAUGCAUGGAUGCGACUUCAAGGUUCUUCCUCUUUCCUUCAUAAUAUGUAGAAAAAAUCGUUUCUUUUUCCCCCAUAUGGAAGACAUUGACAUAUAUGGUUAUUGUUUGCUAGGUUUCCGGACUCUUAGUCAGGAUGUUGAGGAGGGUAUUUGUCAGGUGUUAGCACACAUGUGGUUACUUAGCAAACUCGAAUAUGCUUCAAGCAGCAAUGUUGCAUCAGCUUCAUCCUCUGCUUCUAGUAGAUUACAAAAGGGCAAAAGACCUCAAUUUGAGGGGAAGCUUGGGGAGUUCUUCAAGCACCAAAUUGAAUCAGACACUUCCCCUGUGUAUGGAGAUGGUUUCAGAGCAGGCCAUCAGGCAGUUUAUAAAUAUGGUCUUAGAAGAACCCUUGAACAUAUUCGGAUGACUGGGAGGUUCCCUUACUGAAAUCCCAAGUCCCAAAAUUCCCAAAAACAUGCUUCCCUAUUCUUUCAAAGAGUUAAAAGCUGGGCCUUUUCCUAUUAGAACCAAAGGCCCCAACCACAUAGGAUCAUAUCUCCACAGAGUAGAUUUUAGAAGAACUACCGAUGUUCAUUCCUUGUGGCUCUCAGUGCCACCCUUCAUUUUUAUAAAUUUUUAGUUUUUAAAACUCGUGCUCAUUAAAUCUCUUUCAUUUUAAGGUAAAUUUCAUUUCAUGUAUAAUUGCAAUAAAAAUAAUCAAAAUCACAAUAUGACAUCUUUUUAUUGCUUGUUUCCAAGGAAUUAAAUUUUCUGAAGUAAGUUCCACUCAACAAUUGGCUUGACUUCUAAAAUUAGUCAGAAUUUACAGAACUGUAUCUUAUAUAGUAAAAUAAACUUACAAUGGCUGCUAUGAAAAUAGGUCUGCCCGAAUUUUGGACAGAACUGACACUACAUCCUCCAUGCUUGGUCUCCUUGUUGGUUCUUCUGUCAAGCAGGCUACACUUAAUUGAGCCAUCCGAAGUGCAAAUUCUGUCCGAUUAUCAGAUUUUAGCCUAGGAUCGAUGAGGGAAUCGAGCUCAGCUUCUGCAUUGUCUUUUUCCAUCAUGGAAACAACUGUUGCUGACAGCAGUAUUUCUCUUCCAUCUUGUGUAAUGAUGGCAUCUUUGCCAGUAAUCAGUUCCAACAGCAAAACUCCAAAAGCAUAGACAUCAAUGUUGGAAGUAACCUGCCCUGUCUGUACAUGCUCAGGUGCCAUAUAACCUCUGGUCCCAACAACACGUGUUGUCUGAGCAACGCUGCUUGUUUCGUGGACCACCGCUCUCGCGAGGCUGAAGUUUGUAAUUUUGGCCCUUAGACCACCGUUUAGCAGAACAUUGCUGCUCUUAAUGUCGCCGUGCACAUAGGCAGGUUUGGUAAAACUGUGAAGAUAGUGAAGUCCAUAAGCAACAUCCAAAGCAAUCUGAAUCCUCUUCGUCCAGCUCCCAGUCUCAUCGGGGCUUUGAUUGCAAAGCCAAUCCCUUAGAGACCCUUCUUUCAUAUAUUCAAAAACAAGAUAGAAAGAGCCACCAUUUUCACAGACACCUUGAAGCUUUAUCAAAUUGAAAUGAUUGAUAUUCUUCAGCAGUUGUACCUCCUUAGAUACGUCUAGUCUCAUUCUUUUCACAGCCAGGAUCUUCCCACCAAAACCACCGCGGUAAACAGAACCGCUUAUUCUGUUCAUGGAACUGAAAUUUUGUGUGGCUUUCUUUAUCUCCUCAAAUGCAAAAACUCUCAAGCCUUGGUCAAAGCUUGCAAUUUCAACUCGGAGGUCUUCUGACAAUACAUGAUUGAUCUUCGUUCUUUCAUGGCCACUCCGAGGAACUCCAUCCUUUCUCUUAUUGAACAUAAAGAUGGUGAACAGGAUGAUGAUAAGAACCAGCAUAGAACAAGCUGCUGCGAUUAUAAGCCCCUCAUACAAUUUCCUCUUUGAUCUAUGUCUUUCAGGAUAUUUUACAAUUGGAGGUGAAUCAUGCGGUUGGUCCUUGUGAAUUAUGGUUUGUGAACUUGAAGGUUUCGUUGGCAAAGGAAUUAGGAUUGUUGUGGAAGGGAAAAUAGUUUGUUUUUCUUCCAAACCAUUUGCAUCAUCAAUGCUCUUUCUGCUCACAUUGAACCUAUCACUGAUGUCUGGAAUAUUAUCCCCCAAGCUAAUAGAGUAAGUCAGCAGAUACUUUGUUCCACCUUUAAUCUGAUACCUUGUUGGACAAGCACAUCGAAGUGGAACUUUCAAUUCAUUUCCAGGAACCAAUUUGUAUUCACUAUGUGGAUUUGCACGUUUAAGGGAGCUACAUGUGGAUAAUCCCUGGUAUGCCUUGGUUCCUAUAGUAUGAUAGGUGCCGUAAAUGCUUGAAAUGUGAAACUUGGUGUUUGCCUGAUAAUACCGGCCUAAACAAGAACAAUUUACAGGAAUGAUUACCUCUUUACCAGUUGGGAACUCCGCAUGCCGUGUUACAUUAUUGAUGGUAGCAAGCUCUGCCGGGUUCGAAGAUGUGAAAGCUGAAAUGCUGGGAACUGUGUCAAAAGGAGGUUGAGACUUGUAGAUAAGAAAGGCCUGGCAAUAUCGCACUUGGCCAUUGCAAGUGUAAAGAAACGCUGAAGAAGGACCUGAUUCAUCAUUGUUACUGCAACCCAACGCUGAAUUCCCUGAGUAGUUUUGUUGAGCAGUUAUGUAUAAAGUGAAAACAUUGAGUAAGAGGAAGCAGAAAAGGAACUGAUUCAUGGUGAAAGUCAAGACGAAACAAUUUGCGGAUUGGAGAAUAUGAAUUUGAAGGAUGCUAGCUGCUGCCUGCUGCCUGCUGGGAUUAAUGUUGGGAUAAACGCGUUUAAGGAUUAUAAAAUAUUGCAGUAAAUCAGAGUUUGUUGACUCAAACAGCAACUCCUUACGUAGGCUACAAAAAUGUGUAAUUUCCUCAGGAGGUGCUUCAUUAGUUUAAUGAUCCUACUUGCAAAAAUACAAAGAAUGACUCAACGUUUUUUACCCAAAUUUUUACGUUCAAUAACAAACGAUUUCUUUCUUUUUCAAAGGAAAAUUCUUAAGACCCCACUUCCAUUAGUUUAGUCUCAAGUUUAUCUAAAUAUAUGCUGGCCCGUGAUACAAGCUUGUUUGCUGUAGUAUUCCUGGACUGUCAUAACAUUUGACUGCAUACCUCCUGAACAAACCCGUGAAUCCAAGCCUUGCCACCCCUAUCAAAGGUUUUUGAGCUACCCCCAGAUUUGGAUAAUCAACUCAAUGUCUCCUUUUGUUAUAUAAUUUUGUUUGAUCUGAGGUUAGGCUUCACGAUUUUAUUAGACAGUAAUCAUACAUUAAUUAUUAAAUCAAAUGUUCAGGUGCGAUUUAUACUUAUAACUCACAGUCUAAUUCUUGAUUAUCAACAAAGUGGGAUUUUCCCACAACAAUUAUGAAUGAUUGAAAAUCGAAUUCAUGUAUAUCUUUGUCUAUUAUUUUCCAGCAUAAUUGAAGCUUACAAGGACCGUUGCCUUGCUUGGUUUACGGGGCUGGGCCCGUCUGGGUGUGGAAAUGAAGGAAGAUACAAGACCUUGGUUAUUCUUGACCCUAGUCAAGUCUCUCGUUAAACCAUGACUGAACAGGCAAACUACCAAUUUUGUCUACAAGUUUAGAACAGAUAUAUUUGUUUUAUCAUUCACACUUUUUUAUUGAUUGAAUUUGAUACUAGUGACAAUACAGAGAAAGCCUUGACCAUGGUAUUACUGCCAAAAGGCUUAAAAAGCACUUAAAACACUGAUGAACCCACUACCCACAAAGAAACAAACAUGGAAAGUAAAUUAACAAGAUUUCUCCAUACAUAAUUUCAAUGGAAAAACGUAGGGACGUUCAGCUGCUAGUGCCUGGUAGAACACAUAUAUGAAUAGACUCUACUUACACUACUUUUUUCUAUGGUUCACCUCUCAUCAUUUGUUGAAAUUCAUGGAAGUCAAGCACUCCAUUGCCAUCAAGAUCAAACACUCGAAUCAUGGCAACGCACUCUUCAUACGAUUUCACAUCCCCUAGACGGUUAAGCAUCUGCUGCAAACCUACCGGCGUGAUGCACCCACAGCCUUUGUCAACCUCGUACAUCUCGAACGCUCUUUUAAUAUCAUCGUCACCCUCAUUGCCUCCUUCCAUCAACUUGACGAAGUCAUUGAAUUCCAACCGGUUGUCGCCAUUGUUGUCGAAAUCUUUGAUGACCCUUUGAGCUUCCUGUCUUGAUACGUAGUCGCCUAUGGAGGCGAAGUAAGCACUGAGUUCCUCGCUCGAAAUCUUACCAUCUCCGUCACUAUCAAAACGACGAAAGACAACUUGAAGAUCUUCUUCUUUCGUACUGAUAUUAGGUGUUGGUGGACGAAUUACAGUUGGUGAUGGCAAGGAGCUUGAGGAUUUGGAUUUCGAGCGAAGUCGAGGAAAGCUUAACCUUAAACUCUUGUUGGAGAACCAUUUAAUAGGCUUGGAAAUACUAGCAAUUUCCAUUGGAAACUACUUUGUUCAGGAGGAAUAACUUGAGCUAAGGAUAAACUCUAUAAUAUGUAUAUUAUAUAUACUAGCGAAAAGAAUAGUUUGGUCAGAAAUUUACCCUGGGAUUUUCACAUUGCUAUGCAAUUUGUAAACAGAGUUACAAAGGGGAACAUCUAGUCUUGCGUAGAAGUUGCGCUGAUUGGAAGACUAAAGAGGCCGAAGUUGCUACGCAGCUUCUUUGCCUUCUAGGGAGGGGCCAAACUACUGACCUUCGUACAAAUUGUAUUAAUUCCUUUUGGAAAGUGACUGAGAAAAUAUGGAAAAAGUGGGAAACUUUUUUCCUUCCUUUUGGCCUUAAUAAUGGUGAAUAUCAACCAAUGACUUUGAAGGAUUAUUGACUUUUCACCCUUUUCAUUUGUCUCUAACUGCUUUCGUUGAUACUUCCGCCUCUUCAAAAUCUGAUUGCACCUAGAUGAACCGCUGAGCCUGAGGUACAUAGAAAAUGGCAAUGGAAAGUGCGAGAUUGUGGUAUUGGCAGAGUUCAUGAACCCCGGCAGCCUUCCGGUCCGGACUUGCUGGAAACGUAUUUAUACAUAUGUUGUCCCCAUAAGGGGGAAAAAGAUUCAAUGUCACCUUCAAGAAAAUGAAAUGGCGGGAGGAACCUUUCCAUCCUCAACAGCUCAAAAGCUUGGAGCUGGGGUGGUAGUGGCAGGGUAUUCUAAGUAAUUACUCAAUGACUGCCACAGAAAUGAGUCCGUGAAAGUUCAGUCACUAGUCUUUGGCAAAAUCUUUGUGCCCGGAUUGAAACCUGUUAGAACAAGACCAGGCAUUGUGACGAGCUGAGCAACCACGAAAAUUCAAGUGAGUUUCCACUUGACAGAGACAGGACAUUGACAAUCGAAGUACAACCGGAGUUUAUGUUGGAUUCGAUGUCCUCAUACCAUGUCCGCUAACAGCAAUGGAUAGCCAAGAAAUCGGCCCAAUGAAAAGCCCAUUCCUUUCCUAUUAAACGGGCCAUAUUAACCCAAUUCAAGUUUCAAGUCUUCAACUACAGUGUCGAAUGCCCCCAUCUCUUCCCUUUCAACUGCAGAGUCGGCAUGGAAAUUGAAGCAUUUCCUCGCCGCAAAAGUUUUCAUGCUCCAAGUCAAAACCUUGGCAUGCAAUUUUUGAUUCUUCUCCAACGGCCGGAAAUGCCGAUUGUUUCAUAACUGAGAAGAUUAAACCCAAUGCUCAGGUACUUUCGGCUCCACGCUCCUUCACUGCACUCUUAUGUCCACCGCCCGCUCCAAUCCUUCCACGCGUCCUCUCCACUCCACUGGAAACUCCGGGAAGAAUUCAAUAUCACCCGACCCGACCUUAUCUCCCGGAUCACCCGACUCCUCAUCCUAGGCCGUUACAACGCCCUCAACGACCUCUCUUUCGACUUCUCCAAUGAACUCCUCGAUUCCGUUCUCCGAAGCCUCAAACUAAACCCCAACGCUUCCUUCUAUUUCUUCAAAUUAGCUUCGAAGCAACAAAAAUUCCGACCAGACAUCACGUCGUAUUGCAUAGUCGUCCACAUCUUGUCUCGAGCUCGCAUGUAUGAUGAAACCAGAGCUCAUUUAUCCGAAUUGGUCGGUUUAUGUAAGAACAAGCACUCUUCUUUUUUAGUUUGGAAUGAGCUCGUCAGAGUUUAUAAGGAAUUUAAAUUUUCUCCCUUGGUUUUCGAUAUGUUAUUGAAAAUUUAUGCUGAAAAAGGGUUGAUUAAAAAUGCUUUGAAUGUGUUUGAUAAUAUGGGAAAGUACGGUCGUGUCCCCAGUUUAAGAUCAUGUAAUUGUUUGUUGAGUAAUUUGGUUAAGAAUGGGGAAAGUCAUACGGCUGUACUUGUUUAUGAGCAGAUGAUCAGGAUUGGGAUCGUGCCAGAUGUUUUUACGUGUUCGAUAAUUGUUAAUGCGUAUUGUAAAGAAGGGAGAGCGGAGAGAGCAGUGGAAUUUGUUAGAGAAAUGGAGAAUUCAGGUUUUGAGUUGAAUGUGGUUAGUUAUAAUAGUUUGAUUGAUGGGUUUGUUGGUUUGGGAGAUAUGGAGGGAGCGAAAAGAGUGUUUAAGUUGAUGUUUGAGAAAGGGAUUUCGAGGAAUGUGGUUACCUAUACAAUGUUGAUCAAGGGUUAUUGUAAACAACGUCAGAUGGAGGAAGCAGAGAAGGUGGUUAAAGAGAUGGAGGAGGAGUUGAUGGUUGCGGAUGAAUUUGCUUAUGGUGUGCUGUUAGAUGGUUAUUGUCAAGUUGGUAAAAUGGAUAAUGCUAUAAGGAUUCAGGAAGAGAUGCUGAAAAUGGGGUUGAAGAUGAAUUUGUUUGUUUGCAAUUCGUUGAUCAACGGGUAUUGUAAGUUUGGUCAAACUCAUGAGGCAGAGAGAGUGUUGAUGUGUAUGAGUGGUUGGAACAUAAAGCCGGAUUCAUUUUGUUAUAAUACUCUUGUGGAUGGGUAUUGUAGAAUGGGCCAUAUGAGUGAGGCUUUCAAGCUUUGUGAUGAGAUGCUUCAGGAAGGAAUUGAACCAGGUGUUGUAACUUACAAUACCCUUCUCAAGGGUUUAUGUCGUGCAGGUUCCUUUGAUGAUGCUUUGCACCUUUGGCAUGUGAUGCUCAAAAGAGGGUUGCUCCCUGAUGAGGUCAGUUGUUGUACUCUGCUUUGUGUGUUUUUCAAGAUGGGAGAAGUUGAAAGAGCUUUAGGAUUUUGGAAAAGUAUUUUAGCCAGGGGCGUUUCCAAAAAUAGGAUUGUUUUUAAUACAAUGAUUAAUGGACUAUGUAAGAUAGGGAAAAUGGAUGAAGCGAAAGAGAUAUUUGGCAAAAUGAAGGAACUAGGGUGCUUACCAGAUGUAAUAACAUAUAGAAUCCUGAUUGAUGGAUAUUGUAAAAUUGGAGAAAUUGAAGAUGCUUUAAAACUUAAAGAUAAGAUGGAAAGGGAAGCAAUUUUUCCUACAAUUGAAAUGUAUAAUUCUCUAAUUAGUGGAGUUUUCAAAUCUAGAAAAUUGAUCAAAGUAGGGGAUCUUCUUACUGAAACGUUUACCAGGGGACUAGCCCCUAAUCUUGUUACUUAUGGGGCUCUGAUUACCGGUUGGUGUGAUGUAGGAGACUUGAAAAAAGCAUUUAGCAUAUAUUUUGAGAUGAUUGAGAAAGGGUUUGCACCCAACAUAAUCAUUUGCAGCAAAAUAGUCAGUUGCCUGUACAGGCUUGGCAGGAUUGAUGAGGCAAAUUUACUGCUGCAGAAGAUGCUAGGUACUGAUCCUGUUUUAGCUCACUUGGGUUUGGAUAGCUUGAAGACUGAUGUUAGAUGUCGGGAUAUUCAGAAAAUUGCAAAUACUCUUGAUGAAAGUGCCAAAAGUUUUUCUCUGCCCAACAAUGUGGUGUAUAAUAUAGCCAUGGCAGGAUUGUGCAAGUCAGGGAAGGUCGAUGAUGCAAGAAGAUUUUUUUCGGCUUUGCUGCAACGAGGAUUCAAUCCAGAUAAUUUUACGUAUUGCACUUUGAUUCAUGGCUAUUCAGCCUCUGGUAAUGUCAAUGAAGCAUUCAGUUUACGGGAUGAGAUGCUGACAGUGGGUCUUAAGCCAAAUAUUGUUACUUAUAAUGCUCUUAUAAAUGGACUGUGCAAAUCAGGGAAUCUGGAUCGAGCACAGAGGCUUUUCAGUAAGCUUCCAUUGAAGGGGUUAGCUCCUAAUGCUGUUACCUAUAAUACAUUGAUUGAUGCAUAUCUUAAAGUUGGUAAAACUUGUGAAGCCUCUGGUUUGCUAGAGAAAAUGAUAGAAGAAGGGGUUUCCCCAUCUCCAGCCACCUAUUCUGCAUUGGUCACUGGCCUUUGUGAGCAAGGAGAUAAUGGCAAAACUAUGAAACUUUUGGCUGCUCAGGGUCAUGUUAAAUGUGGAGAUUUGAAGACGAUCACAAAGCUUCAUGAUAUUAUGCAUACUGUGUGUCCAUCCCUUGAUGUUGCCACACAGAAGCAAAUGGACUUGACAGUGUCCUCAGAUGCUAGAGUGUCAGACAAUGUGUAUUAUAUAUCUGAAGCUGUGUGUUGAUGGAUGCUCACAACUAAGGCGAUGCUGGGAUACUUUUAUUUGUGGGAAUAAGUUUAAAGAUUGGCCAUCCUGGUUUUCUUCUUUAACAUUGAAACUCAAGGGUUGGUCUUGCAUUCCCCUGCAUAAUACAUACGUGAAAUGCUUUAGAGCUUCCAGCAUAUCUUUUCUCCUGAUGGCAAUCAGAUGCAAUGGAGGUCCAUUUUCGACAUGCCCUAUGGAGGAAGGUUGAAAACAUAUAAUCCCAUGUUUAACACAUUGGUUUUGGACCAACUUUCAUGAUCUUCAGCUGGAAGCUUAGAAUGAUGCUUCAUGCCUAGAACCAAGCUAGAUGCCUCUCUAAUCCAGGCCCUAGAGGCUAGAAUAGGGUAGGAUGAUUAAAGUUUGUACAUGUAUCAGCCAAGGAAUACAUCCAGAUAGUUGUUGAAAUGAAAAUUUAGUACAGUUGUGGACAGAGCCAAAACUUGAUGUUCAAACUACAGAUUCAGUGAACUAUACAUGGUCUUUGUGACAAAAUCUCCUGUUCUUCAUUCUGAUCUAAUGAUGGGCAAAGGUCAUAACAACUACUCGUUUCAUGUACUUUUGUCCAUUUGCAUAUUGUUUAGAUUAAUUAAUCAAGAUAAUAGUAAUUGAACAUGCAAUAUCAGUAACUGCUGUUAUUAAUCUCUUAGAAUUUUCAGAGAUUCCAUUGUCAUAUGAUGGUCAUCUUUUUCACGGUUACUAUCAGUACUGUAAAUCAUAAUAGACUCGACAGAUUUAAGACCUCUAAUCUUUGUAUGGCUAAUGGUGCAAAUCAAAAGCCAUAAUAUCUACCACAACUUUUGAGAAAAUUUCCUAUCCUUCUUCCACUCAAUUUGACUCAUCUUAGAAUUGGGGGGUCUCCGUGGUGGCCGAGCUUAAGCAACUCGACAGGAAAGUAUCGUUUUCUUCCACUAUCGGCCGUCACUGUCUUACUUUUAAAAGACUAUUCUCAAAAGUUGAGGAAGAGACGGAUGUGUCUGUCUUCCUACGUUUACAGUCACUUGGAAGUUAAAGUUUUGUCCGAACCCAAGGACGGGAAAGCCAAGAAGAAGUCUCGAGCAGAGACGUAGCUAAUUAAUAACGGUACUAAGUCUGAACGAAGGUGAUUAUUGUUUCGACUUAUUCAAAGCUUGAAUCACCGGAAACCUUCAGGAUUCCGGUGCCCUUUUUCUUCUUUCAGGUCUCUGCUCGACCAACAAGCAGUAGCACCUCCGUUAAUCAGCCUAGUCCCCAUUCUUAUAGUUUGGAACUCAACAACCACCUUGAUCUCACAAUUCCAGGAAAGUUGCAGCUGCGACAGAUACAACGACUGAUGAUGACUCGUUUGACAGAAACUUGACGUUUGACGCGUAAGUCAAUGAGAUUUGAAUACACCCAAGCUUUAAAGUACUAAAUAAUACUUAGAAAAACCUGAAGCUUUAACCAUCUUGUACUGUUCCCUAGUCAGGAUUUGAAACUGAUUUCCAUUCUUUUCUCUAAAGGAAGGUUAAAGAAAACUUGCUCUGAUAUAUGCAGAAAGGUAUGGUUCAUCGAACAAAGGUGUAAAUUUUAUAAAUUUGCUUGUACAGCUCGAUCAAAAGUGGGUAGACUGAAAGGUAUACACCAUCUACCAGGACUGCAGAAGUUGCUUAGGAUCUCAGGAAAACCCCACGUGAAAAAGGAGAAUAACUUGCUAAAUAUGGUGCUACUGCUACUGCUAACGCUAAUUCCAAUCGGACCAAUGACAAACUAGCAAACACCCCAUCUUCACAGAUCGAAAGAGCUUUCUUUUCAGAUGGCUGACCAGUGUUCUUCUUUGUAAUUCGUGCAGAUAUCUGUCCCUGAGUAUUCAGGUAGAAUAGUCAUGAAAUGUGCAGCACCACUGCUUUUGGAUAAAAGGGUUAUCAAAAGCUACAUCACCAUGAAUUGAUGUUGAACAAUACUACUUGUCAUAUUUGAAAGUCAUUUCCAUCUUUGAUCUACUACUUCAAGUGGUCCUUUAUUUAUUUCUCAUAAUGAUUGAUCCUACUUCCUAUCAGGCCAAUUUCACAACGAUUAUUACUAAUAAAAGAAUUACUAACCAGAAGCAUAUUUAAAAUUAAUUAUGCUUUCACCCUCUUUUAAUUUUUAUUUUUCUCUACACUAGCUAGAGAAAUAUUUUGGGGUUGAGAAAAGUGGGACCCACACGCUUUGACUUUAUUCCCGAUCACAGCCGUUGAAUUUUCGUAGUCUUUUAAAAGUCAUGCCACGCGGCAUUCAUGGAAUCCCCCAACGAGCACGAUUUAUUGAUGUUCCGGCAAUACUUCUCCCUCUUUGUUCUUUCCCACUAUAAUCUACCGACACUCCUUUUUUUUUUAUUAAAUAAUUUUAUUUUCUUAAUUAAUAAUUAUACUUUUUUUAGAAUAAAAAAUUAGAAAUAAAAUGUCAAAAAAUCUAACAGGCUGGCAUUCGGAAAAUGCCUAGUUGACAUAAUUGGAUCCAAGACCAAUAAUUGAUAACUUUAUUAAAUUUUAAUGAUAUAAUGCUUUAAAAUUUUUUUUGAAUUUUUUAAAAAAUAAAAUUAUUUUUUAUUACAUUUUUUAUCAAAUAGAUAUUUAUAAUUAACGAUUAAUUAAAACACUAUUUAUUAUUUUUAUAUUCACAUUAAAAUAUGUAAUGUAAUUUAUCACGCGAUCAUAUCAUCAUGUCAUGUCAAUACAUCUCGUUACCAUAUUUUAUGACAUGUGAGUGUUUUACGUUAUUACCAAAUCCCAUAAAAUGAUACAUGAUAAACCAUUAUCAUAAAAAUUUAUUUAACUCAAAAUAAAAAUAUAAAAAAGAAUAUAAUAUAUUUAACUUUUCAUAAAUAAUUCAAGGGUUUUUUGUAGAUAUUAUACCAAUCUUAUUCUAAAUCUGAUUUUUCUUAAAUAUAAUUAUUCAAUGCAUGCAACUAAAUUAGUGAUUAGCCAAUACUUUAAGAUCUAAAUAAUUAAAUUUGGUCAGUUUUGGGAGACUAAAAUAUUCUAUUCAUCCAAAUCUCAACAUAUGAAAUCAAUGUGAGUUGGAAGUUGACAAGGCAUAAUCAAACAAACCAGUAUUUUCCCCAUAAAUAAUUAUUCCAAAAUAGUUGUCAUUCACAUUUUUUUUUUAAUUAGUGCAAUUUUGUCAUCCAUAUUUAAAUAAAAAUUAAAAUGACUGCAAAGGCAUUUGGCAAUAAUAACUUUCAUUCAAGUACUAAUAUAUACUUCUUCUGUCUCUUUUUCUUUAUCCGGCACGACCUAACUUUGAUUUUUAAUUCGAUUAGCGAUUUAGAGUGUAAUUAUAUUCUUCAAUCUUAAAGCAAGAUUAAUUGGGAUAUCAAAAACGUAAUUAUAAAGAAAAUAAUGAUUGAAAAAUUAAUUUUAUAAGCUUUUUUUUUAAUUUAUAGAUUAAUUAAACCGUGAAUCCCUAAGGAAUAUUGGAAAGAUAUAUAGGAUGGAGUUGUAUGUGUUUGUCCUUUAAUCAUCCUUGAGGAAUAUGUAUGUUAUUAAUUAUGUCAACCCUAUACUUUAUUCUUCUUCUUCGUUAAAGAGUCUCAUCAGCUGGCAAAUAUGUCUUUCCAGCCAUUUCCACGUAAAAGACAAAUUUCUAACCAUUAAAAUACCAGGAAAAAGAAAAGGAAGAAGAAAACCCAGUAAUGCGGGUUGAAUGCGAAAUGCUAAGAUCCAAGGAAAGAGGAGGAACUUGAUCCUUAAGCAUUCAAUAUUAUAACCAGAUUGCCAACCAGUUUCCGUUAAUGGUUUCCCAGGGUAUGUAACAAGCACAUGAGAGGAACACAUGGAAGGGAGGCCAGAUUUAUUUUAUAUUGAACAAGGAAAGAUUCAUGGAAAAUUAGCCAACCAAAACAGCUCUUUUUGCUCUACAGACUUUGAUUUU